This is a non-coding RNA of Chrysemys picta bellii (western painted turtle), 3896 nucleotides long. The record is from RefSeq and is a predicted model, not a curated record. NCBI's taxonomy places the organism in Eukaryota, Metazoa, Chordata, Testudines, Emydidae.
AAAGCAGUGGAAGUAUUUGCAUAGAAUAGCAUCUGGAGCCUAUGUGUACGCGAAUACUUCCAGAGGGAAAGCAGUUUUCCACAUUCAUUACAGCCUAGUAAGGAAGAGGAGAAAAGGAACAAGGGAGGAUAGAAAAGGAACAGGGGACUCCUUUUGUAUCUGUGCCCAAUAUGGUUUCUUUUGAUUUUUCAUUCUCCAUAGUCAAGGGCUCCCCAUGGGUUCUCAUCUAUUACCCAGGCAUUGCCAUACCUGCCUCCCUGUGUGAAAGUGGCUCAGCUGCCGGCUCUGGAUGAGGCUAACAGAUCACAUCUAUCUCCCUGGCAUCCACUGAGCGCACAGGGCUCCAAGGAUCAAGCCCCGGACAAGAACACAAAAGCAGGCCCAUCGUCCAUCUCAUUUUAUAUGAAGUUCUACCUCUCAGAAGUGAUUUAGAGUUGGGGAGGGUCAGCCUGCCACACAUUUCCUGGCAGGUGGUCCAACAUGGAAAGCUAAAGCCGAGCAGACCCAAGCUUUUGAACUGACUGACUAGGAUGGCUGAAUACUUCAGAGGUUUUUCUUCCGGGAAUUAAGGGAAAAAAAAUGGUUAAAACAGAGAUGGAAUUGGUCUGAGUCACCCAAUGUGACGAUGCAACGUACAUACCCAGAAGUAAUCAGGUAACUAGGCUUAUCACAGUCAGCACCACUGACGUGGUGCUGGGACAGGAGACGAUAAAAGUGAGUCCAGAACAAAGACCUUGCUUUCCUGGUCUCUUGCACAAUUAAAGAAGAAAAAGAGUGGCAGUUGGGCUGCAUACACAGGAAAAAUGGAUAACUCACCUCCCAAAACAUGGGCUGAUAUGCUGACCCCAAAGCAGCGUAGGAAUUUUACAAAGAAACUUACAUAUGACAAACAUACUUCAGUACCAGUGUGAGUCUGAAUGGCUGGUUCAAGACAAGUGGCCCAAACCCAAAUAUACAGCAAGUCAUUUGACUGCAAGGGUGUAAGCAAAAAGAAGAGUUCACAUGUGGCUUCAUGCUCCUGUUAAAUCUGGUGGACAGUAAUACAUACAUGAAAUUAUUUACUGCCUACAAAACACUUGACAAUGGCUAGGCAGCUGGUAUACUGUGACUGCUGCUUGUUAUGCUAAUCAUAAUAGUCUCAAUGCUACUUGUGCUGCUCCCCCAUUUGUUUAUUGUACCCACCUGUUUUCUCUCAUCACAUACUAAGAUUAUAAACUCUGUGGGACUCCAUAUGUGUGUGUGUGCAAUGUUAGCACAACGGGUCCAGGAUCGGGGUUUCUAGUUCAAAAUAAUCAGGAAUAACAUUUAGAGAUGAAUCUGAUCCACAUUGGGCAGCUCUUUCACACACUGACUUUCAAGGGCUAUUCACCAUUUUGCAGAGCUUUGCACAUGAGGAUGAUGUGUGUGACCAAAAGGAAGUUGAGUCACGCUAAGUGCACACAUCAUCCCAAAUGUGUGAGUCAGUGGUCAAGCAAUGAUUUAUAUGUCAGUCACCUGACAGUAAAUGUUCCAGGCUGUUGGCUCUGCACCACCCAGAUCCUCCAGAGCAAACGUUCUCAAGAAACAUGCAGCACACCACAAGACAAAGGUAGAAAAGGAUCACAUUGUGCUGCUGCACUAAUUUGGAGUGUGACUUAUUCCCCUUCCCACCCGCAAGUGAUUAGGCCCUCGUGUCAAUCAGUGAUAGCCACAGAGUCAACCAGUUAUAGCCAUGAUGACAUAUGAUGGCUAUAUACAAGUACAGGGCUUGGUUUUCAGAGAAUGCAUUUUAAGGGGUUAUAGCUGGUUGGAACAUUUCAAUGAAAAACAGAAACAAAAUGUAAUUUGUUCUUUUUUUCCCAUUUUCCAGCCAGCUCUAUCCAUGUUGCACUACAUAGUACAAACAAAUGCAUGUAAAUAUUCUCAAAAGUUUGCAUUACUCCUUGGUGCAGGGAAAUCCGUGUCCUCUAUUGCAUAUGCAACAUAUCAUCAAAAAAGAAAAAGAUAUCCACCAAAAGAAUGAGGGUUGAGGUAACAGACCACCCAGACACCAACUGCUACAGUGGAAAACUUAGCAGACUGGUGGUAACUGGGGCCUGAUGUGAGGAGCAAUCAUGAAACCUGGUUCAUUUCUCACUGUCCUUUCCCCUUGAUGAUGUUCCCUCUCUCUGCAAAUUAACAUGCAUUAACACUCACAGUCCGUUCUGUUAACAGGGUGGGAACAGAAGCAGUAGAAGAGCUGACUAAGUACAUGAACCCAGUUCACACAUUGCUGAAUAAUUUCAAGUAUGAUUUGCAAGAUGCAACAUUCUGAGAAGAGUUUGAGCAGGACUAUAGGGCAACCAAAGAAGAGAUUGCCUAAAAACAAUCUAUCCUAGAAAAAAGAAGAACAGGAGUACUUGUGGCACCUUAGAGACUAACAAAUUUAUUAGAGCAUAAGCUUUCGUGGACUACAGCCCACUUCUUAAGUAGUACUCCUGUUCUUCUUUUUGCGGAUACAGACUAACACGGCUGCUACUCUGAAAUCUAUCCUAGGUUUUCCACUGGAAAAUGCUUUGAGAGAUCAGUUCUCUUUCUUAGUUGUUGUGCUAUGAUCACUACCAUGAUAUCUAUUAUUAAAAUGGGCAUAAGGUGAUCUCUGUAUCUGCAUCUUCUGCCCCCAUUCUGAAGGGAGUGGUGGUGGUGUUUAUUUCAGUUAGCUAGUUUAAUAGACCAUUUUGGUGGGGUUGUUAGAGGAAGGCUAGGUCAAACUAAAAACAAAAAGCCCAAUUCAUUAUAUUUUCAUUAGAGCUGUGAGAGCUUCAACAGUUCUGCUCUGAAGUUUUCUGCACCUAUAUGUGUCAUGACAUUUUAUUUUGUGUUCUAAACUAGCUUACAUUAUGAGAAACAUAGUACUGGGGCAUCCUCGCCUAGCACCAGCUUUUAUUGUUCACUAUGGAACUUCUAGAAUCCACAGAGGACAUCUUUCCUGGACAUUGGGUAGAACCCUUUAAACUUUGAAAUGUUGCCAUGACCACCAGUGCUCAUAACUCAGUUUUUUGUCUUGUCUGAAAGAUGUCACCUAUAUCUUCAAAUAGUCCUUACCCAGGUGAGGGUAUUAGUUCAGUACUAAUUCAGAGAGAGGAGCAACAUCUAUCAAAUCACCAGCUUUACUUCCUGCUGCAUCCUGCUGAAAACGUGUUGUGAAAACUGACACUAUCUCAGCACAAGGGGGUGUGCCUGCAUUAUAAUGCUAGAAAAGACUUGUACUUAGGUAAUUAGCCUCCAUGGGAUAGAUUUCUUAGCCAGAUUCUUAAUAUGAUUUGCACUGCCCUCCAAGGGAAAAGUGAUCUCCUCUCAAGUAAUGUUGUCUCUAUAGUACAUGCAGUAACAUGAAUUUGUGAUCCUUUUAACACAUUAUUCCCAUGCAAAGAUAACAAUUGAAGUAAGACAUUUAUAAAACACACUUUCUUUUGUACAGAAGGUAGACGUCAUGGGGUAAUAUGAAGUCAGAAACAAUGUGAUGUCAUUGGCAAACAGAAUCUCAUCAGUUAUUCCAGUAAUGUACAAAAACAAAUUCCCCAGUAACUUAGUUCUCUUUCUGGGCAAUUUAAGCAGAUUGUAUAGAAGAGAUUGUUAGCUUUUAAUGAUGCAUUCUGCUAAGAAGCUACGCUCUUUAGUAUUAAUUAACACUUGAAGAAAGUUUAACCCUGAUAAUCAUAUAUUCAAGUAAUUUGCUGCAGAUUCUGUAAGUAUAAUACACCAGGUUCUAAAAAAAACCCCACUGAACAUGUGUCUAGACGUCUGAGGCAAUCCUAACACCAAACUGCAUCCUCUUUUUUGUUUCUACUUCUGCUCACUGUAAGCUAUUUGGGAAAGGGUCUGUAUUUCUCUUUGUGUAAUGUGCAAUGCAUAGCAAAUUGUUGGCUCUAAACAAA